GAUGAACGCUAGCGGCGUGCUUUAUGCAUGCAAGUCGAACGGCCCUGAUUUAUCAGGGCAGUGGCAAACGGGUGAGUAACACGUAAGUAACCUGCCCUUAAGUGGGGGACAACUCCGGGAAACCGGGGCUAAUACCGCAUGUGGUGGUGGAGCUCAAGCUCUAUCACUAAAGCCUUCGGGCGCUUGAGGAUGGGCUUGCGGACGAUUAGCUUGUUGGUGAGGUAACGGCCCACCAAGGCUAUGAUCGAUAGCUGGUCUGAGAGGACGAUCAGCCACAUUGGGACUGAGACACGGCCCAGACUCCUNACGGGAGGCAGCAGCAAGGAAUUUUGGGCAAUGGGCGAAAGCCUGACCCAGCAACGUCGCGUGGGGGAUGAAGGCUCUCGGGUUGUAAACCCCUUUUCCCAGGGAAGAAUAAUGACGGUACCUGGGAAUAAGUCUCGCUAACU
Molecule: ribosomal RNA, 449 nt
Filed under: uncultured bacterium
Lineage: Bacteria
Description: bacterial SSU rRNA
Rfam family: Bacterial small subunit ribosomal RNA
Source: RNAcentral